GAGCCGCCCCCCGGCCGGAUGCGGAGCACCUGUGUCGGCCCCGCCCGGGCCCUCGCCUCCGCCCCCUCGAGCCCCGCCCCUCCUAGCAGGCCGAGCCGAGGAGGGCUCCGCCGCCCACCCGGAACCCUGCGGGGACCGCCGCCGCUGCUGGCCACAGCUGCCUCCUGGGGGGCCAGAGACCUAAGCCUGAGCGCGCUAUCACCUAAGUGACCCUAGCCGACUCACUGUCUGCCCUGGGCCUCAGUUUCCCUCUUAACGAAAGAGGGCACGAUUUACAAGCCCCUGCGAGCGGCGGCGAUCGCUUCGUCAGUACAGCCUCGUGUCCGCGCUCUUUCUCUUCCAGUGAUCUCUGCAGGGCGAGAGCCAGCCCUGCAUCCUUGGUCGGAACCGUAGCCCCCGGGCUGCAGGAGGCGCACUCACUUUAGACCCACUGCUCCGUGCGCUGCAGAGGGGGCCGCGAGUCAGGACAUUCCAGAAAGUUCCAAAGACAUCACUGGUCCUCUUUAGACCGGAGUUCUCCGGGAAAACCGCUUCCGGCGCUCCCGACACACCGAGAUAGAAAGUUUCACAGAAAUAGGGCGAGGGCUCCAGGGCAGGCGUCCUGGGGCACCUGGAGCAGGGGCGGACCGGAAACCUCAGGCAAACGCAGAGGUGGAGAUGGCAUUCCAGGCGGGAGACCAAGCAAAGGCAGAGAGGGAGGACGGCACCGAGCGGCUCCCUCUGACCAGGACUGAGGAUGAUGCGACCUGAUACCGCGGGAGGGAAGCCUGGGCCCGCUGAGCAAGGUAAGAAUCUGAAACCCAGAAUAGUGCCCAAGGGAGCAGGUGUCUGGAGGCCCCUUUCAUUUUUCAAAACUGUCAACCAUAAGAAAAUGAAGGCAUCUUUCAAGAGACUUGGAACAGAAACUUCUGCUGCCUAAAAUCUCUCUCCUUAAACUUUCUGUUGCAGAUGAGACUGAAGCUCAAAGAAGUUAAGUAACUUGCCAAAAGGGGCGUGAGCCACCACCCGGCCAAAAGACUCCCAGCUAAAAGUGUGAGAGCAAGGACUCAAACCAAGGCAGUCUUCUGGUUUCAGAGCCUGAAGUCUUAACCAGGUGAGAAUAAAACUUCCAGCGUGCUUA
Long non-coding RNA from Symphalangus syndactylus (siamang), 1120 nucleotides. RefSeq lists it as uncharacterized. NCBI's taxonomy places the organism in Eukaryota, Metazoa, Chordata, Mammalia, Primates, Hylobatidae. The record is from RefSeq and is a predicted model, not a curated record.